CCUGGCUCACGAUGAACGCUAGCUACAGGCUUAACACAUGCAAGUCGAGGGGCAGCAUGGUCUUAGCUUGCUAAGACUGAUGGCGACCGGCGCACGGGUGAGUAACACGUAUCCAACCUGCCGUCUACUCUUGGACAGCCUUCUGAAAGGAAGAUUAAUACAAGAUGGCAUCAUGAGUCCGCAUGUUCACAUGAUUAAAGGUAUUCCGGUAGACGAUGGGGAUGCGUUCCAUUAGAUAGUAGGCGGGGUAACGGCCCACCUAGUCUUCGAUGGAUAGGGGUUCUGAGAGGAAGGUCCCCCACAUUGGAACUGAGACACGGUCCAAACUCCUACGGGAGGCAGCAGUGAGGAAUAUUGGUCAAUGGGCGAGAGCCUGAACCAGCCAAGUAGCGUGAAGGAUGACUGCCCUAUGGGUUGUAAACUUCUUUUAUAAAGGAAUAAAGUCGGGUAUGCAUACCCGUUUGCAUGUACUUUAUGAAUAAGGAUCGGCUAACUCCGUGCCAGCAGCCGCGGUAAUACGGAGGAUCCGAGCGUUAUCCGGAUUUAUUGGGUUUAAAGGGAGCGUAGAUGGAUGUUUAAGUCAGUUGUGAAAGUUUGCGGCUCAACCGUAAAAUUGCAGUUGAUACUGGAUAUCUUGAGUGCAGUUGAGGCAGGCGGAAUUCGUGGUGUAGCGGUGAAAUGCUUAGAUAUCACGAAGAACUCCGAUUGCGAAGGCAGCCUGCUAAGCUGCAACUGACAUUGAGGCUCGAAAGUGUGGGUAUCAAACAGGAUUAGAUACCCUGGUAGUCCACACGGUAAACGAUGAAUACUCGCUGUUUGCGAUAUACGGCAAGCGGCCAAGCGAAAGCGUUAAGUAUUCCACCUGGGGAGUACGCCGGCAACGGUGAAACUCAAAGGAAUUGACGGGGGCCCGCACAAGCGGAGGAACAUGUGGUUUAAUUCGAUGAUACGCGAGGAACCUUACCCGGGCUUAAAUUGCAGAUGAAUUACGGUGAAAGCCGUAAGCCGCAAGGCAUCUGUGAAGGUGCUGCAUGGUUGUCGUCAGCUCGUGCCGUGAGGUGUCGGCUUAAGUGCCAUAACGAGCGCAACCCUUGUUGUCAGUUACUAACAGGUUCUGCUGAGGACUCUGACAAGACUGCCAUCGUAAGAUGUGAGGAAGGUGGGGAUGACGUCAAAUCAGCACGGCCCUUACGUCCGGGGCUACACACGUGUUACAAUGGGGGGUACAGAGGGCCGCUACCACGCGAGUGGAUGCCAAUCCCCAAAACCUCUCUCAGUUCGGACUGGAGUCUGCAACCCGACUCCACGAAGCUGGAUUCGCUAGUAAUCGCGCAUCAGCCACGGCGCGGUGAAUACGUUCCCGGGCCUUGUACACACCGCCCG
RNAcentral lists this ribosomal RNA (1383 nucleotides) under uncultured bacterium. Its description in RNAcentral is "bacterial SSU rRNA". It matches the Rfam family "Bacterial small subunit ribosomal RNA", at positions 18 to 1396 of the family's 1533-position model. The record is from RNAcentral.